Molecule: ribosomal RNA, 468 nt
Filed under: uncultured bacterium
Lineage: Bacteria
Description: partial 16S ribosomal RNA
Rfam family: Bacterial small subunit ribosomal RNA
Source: RNAcentral
GACGAACGCUGGCGGCGUGCUUAACACAUGCAAGUCGAACGGAAAGGCCCUGCUUUUGUUGGGUUCUCGAGUGGCGAACGGGUGAGUAACACGUGAGUAACCUGCCCUUGACUUUGGGAUAACUUCACGAAACUGGGGCUAAUACCGGGUAGGAGCUCCUGCUGCAUGGGGUGGGUUGGAAAAUUUCGGCGGUUGGGGAUGGACUCGCGGCUUAUCCGCUUGUUGGUGGGGUAGUGGCUUACCAAGGCUUUGACGGGUAGCCGGCCUGAGAGGGUGACCGGCCACAUUGGGACUGCGAUACGGCCCAGAAUCCUACGGGCGGCAGCAGUGGGGAAUAUUGCACAAUGGGCGGAAGCCUGAUGCAGCAACGCCGCGUGCGGGAUGACGGCCUUCGGGUUGUAAACCGCUUUCGCAUGUGACGAAGCGUGAGUGACGGUAAUGGGUAAAGAAGCAACGGCUAACUACGUG